GUUGGCGGCGCGCUUAAUGCAUGCAAGUCGAACGAGAACUGUUGGGUUCGUAAGAACCCGACAGGGACAGUGGCGAACGGGUGCGUAACACGUGAGGAACCUGCCCUGGAGACCGGGAUAGCCCGAGGAAACUCGGAUUAAUACCGGAUACCUUCUCGAGAUCGCAUGAUCUCUUGAAGAAAGGUCCGCUGCUCCAGGAUGGCCUCGCGGCCUAUCAGCUUGUUGGUGAGGUAACGGCUCACCAAGGCAGCGACGGGUAGCUGGUCUGAGAGGACGAUCAGCCACACUGGGACUGAGACACGGCCCAGACUUCUACGGAAGGCAGCAGCAGGGAAUAUUGCACAAUGGGCGAAAGCCUGAUGCAGCGACGCCGCGUGCGGGAUGAAGGCCUUCGGGUUGUAAACCGCUUUCAGGAGGGACGAAAAUGACGGUACCUCCAGAAGAAGGCCCGGCCAACUACGUGCCAGCAGCCGCGGUAACACGUAGGGGCCAAACGUUGUCCGGAUUUAUUGGGCGUAAAGGGCUCGUAGGCGGCUCGACAAGUCAAUCGUGAAAACCCGGGGCUCAACCCCGGGACGCCGGUCGAAACUGUCGUGGCUAGUGUCCGGUAGAGGUGAGUGGAAUUCUCAGUGUAGCGGUGAAAUGCGCAGAUAUUGAGAGGAACACCA
This 668-nucleotide ribosomal RNA is filed under the name uncultured Actinomycetes bacterium. Its description in RNAcentral is "bacterial SSU rRNA". It matches the Rfam family "Bacterial small subunit ribosomal RNA", at positions 35 to 711 of the family's 1533-position model. The record is from RNAcentral. Lineage: Bacteria; Bacillati; Actinomycetota; Actinomycetes.